AUUGAACGCUGGCGGCAGGCUUAACACAUGCAAGUCGAGCGGAGAUGAGGUGCUUGCACCUUAUCUUAGCGGCGGACGGGUGAGUAAUGCUUAGGAAUCUGCCUAUUAGUGGGGGACAACAUUCCGAAAGGAAUGCUAAUACCGCAUACGUCCUACGGGAGAAAGCAGGGGAUCUUCGGACCUUGCGCUAAUAGAUGAGCCUAAGUCGGAUUAGCUAGUUGGUGGGGUAAAGGCCUACCAAGGCGACGAUCUGUAGCGGGUCUGAGAGGAUGAUCCGCCAGACUGGGCCUGAGACACGGGCCAGACUCCUACGGGAGGCAGCAGUGGGGAAUAUUGGACAAUGGGGGAAACCCUGAUCCAGCCAUGCCGCGUGUGUGAAGAAGGCCUGAUGGUUGUAAAGCACUUUAAGCGAGGAGGAGGCUACUGAGACUAAUACUCUUGGAUAGUGGACGUUACUCGCAGAAUAAGCACCGGCUAACUCUGUGCCAGCAGCCGCCGCCG
RNAcentral lists this ribosomal RNA (501 nucleotides) under uncultured bacterium. RNAcentral describes it as "partial 16S ribosomal RNA". It matches the Rfam family "Bacterial small subunit ribosomal RNA", at positions 30 to 523 of the family's 1533-position model. The record is from RNAcentral.